UUCCUAUUGAAUUUAUUUACUUCUUUGGAAAAUUAUGUGAUAUAUAAAAUCAACAUUUUCGAUUGAAAGGGUGAACGCGCCGCCCACUACCCUCCUCAUCCUUCAAUGUAGCGACGGCCAUGUGUGGUGUUACGGUUGGCAGUAGCCUCCGCACCACCUUCUUUCUUGAAUCUGCCAGAGGUUCUACUGCUGGCCUGGUCGGUGGUCUCUGGUGGGUUGAAGAUUGAGACUCUGUUACAGAGCUUGGAUAUGGGUUCCUUGUUGUUUGGUGGUUCCACAACAGUUGAUUUCGCGUAGAGAAUUGUUGUUCCCACAUUUGGUUUGGCUGUGCCACACGAGUAAAUUACUCAAAUGCCCUUCGGUAGUAAACUGCCGAAGUUUUUAGGAAACCGGCGGCAGUUAACUGCCGAGGAAAACCUCGGGAGUUAACUGCCGAGGAAAAUGUUAUAAGAACAGAACUGCAUAGGAGUUUCCAAAAUUCCAUUGUUGCGUUUUUAAUUAUCCAAGGUGCGAUUUUGAGUCAUUUGAAGCCAUUACAAGCCAAUUUCAAUCACAAAAACAAGUAAGUUUUUGAAUCCUAUUGCAUUGUUGCUUUGUGGUCGAAUUGUAUGUUAUUUUUUGUUAAAUUUCGAUUAUAUAGGUUCGAUUAUAUUGAUUUGUUGAAUUUAUGAUAUGUUAGGAUAGUUUAAGUUAGAAUGGUUAGAAUUGUUAGGAUAGUUUAGGUUAGUAUAGGUUGAAUUGAUCGCCAUUUUUUUUUAAUGUAGGAUAUGUCUCAAAAUCAGAAUCAGGGUAACGUUCAGGGUGAUGAGAAGAAAAAAGAAAAAUCACCUAUGACGUGGCAUGGAAUUGUUUGCGAUGGUUCCGAAAAAAAGAAGGGUUCGAAGGUGCCAGUGUACAAUCACUCGAGGUUGAGGAGGAGCGGGAGGAUAUGCUAUUUCGGUCCUCAACCAAAACAAGGUACCGCAGGGACUGUAGCGGACAAGCCGAUUGAUUUGUGUGACGAGGAAGAAUGAAUGUAAUGGCUUUUAAUGCCUAAUUGUUUUCGAUUUUUUUAUGUUUUAUUUUUGUGUCGCGCACAUUUUGUUUGACAUUAUGGUACUUAGAAUAAAAUUGCAUUUGGAAUAAAUAAAUUUGAAAACAAAAUAAGAUAAUUAUUGUUCCAUUCAAAACAAAAUAUAUGUUAUCACAUUACAUAGCAUUACACAUUAGAUUCCGAAAUUUACCUUCCAGCUGCAACAAUUAUCUUACCACUGAAUGUGGCAAAUUCAAACUUGCUAAGCAGCAGGACCCCAGUAUUCGAUCAGCAUCUUGAACGCUGGUAUUCAAGUGUCAAAAGAAUGAGGUGCAUUCCUUGACACUUGAAUACCAUUGUUCAAGAUGCUCAUUGAAUGCUGGAGUCCUGCCGAUUAACAAGUUUGAAUUGCCCCAUCCAGAGUAAGACAAUUGUUGCAGUUGGAAUGUGCAUUCCAACUGCAACAAUUGUGUUACCUUUGAAUGGGAUAAAUUCAAACCUGCAAAACAACACGACUCAAGCAUUUCACCAAGCACUUCAUGUUUUCCCUUUGAAAAGAAUAAAUUUUUGUUAGGCUUGCUUUAGAUGAUGGUAUUCAAGUGCCACCGAAUUGAGGUUCAAUCCUUGACACUUAAUACCUUCAUCUAAACCAACAUAACAAGAAUUUAAUAUUUUCAAAGGAGAAACAUGAGGCGCUUGCGAAAUGCUCGAGUCCUGUUGUUUGACAAGUUUGAAUUACCCCAUUCAAAGGAAGACAAAUGUUGUAGUUGGAAUGCACCUUACCCUAACUAAUGACGAUCUUCUGGCGGAAUCAAACUUUUGAUGAUAUCUUCAGUUGAUCUAAGCAACUUCACCCGCAUAUCGAUCCACUGGAACAUGUUGUGCUCCCAAAACAUGCUCGUCACGUUUUCGUCGUUCGUUAAUUCCACCCAAGUGAAUGAUACUCUCCCCUCGUCGAGCGUUGGACGUUUAUACCAAACGUGUUCCACCAUACUUGUGUCUCUGGGGUUGACUCCUUGGUUGAAUUCAAUCAGUUUAUCCUUGAGACCUCUUAACGUUACACCAAGGCACCAAACCUUCAACCUCUGAGGUUCUCUGCCGUUGAAUUGCGCAUGAACGUCGAUCCACCCGACCAUUGUUUUAAAUCUACAUAAUAAGAAACUAAAAACAAUCAAUGUAAAACUCAUUCAAACAUUUCAUUGAACACUUGAUGUGCACAUUAUACAUUGACUCUAAAAUUCAUAAAAAUAACCCUAAAAUUAUAAAUCAUAUACUCUUACUAAAAUAAAAAAAUUAAUCAUAUAACAUAAACAUCAUGCAAAUAUUUUAACAACAUUAAUCAACUAACAUCUACCCUAAAAAUUAAUUAUAACAUGUAAAUCUACUAAAAAAUAAUAAAUGUACUCAAAAACUAAAAAAUAAUAACAUUUAUAACAACUAAAAUGUAAGUUAAUAGUAUUAAAAUUACUUACUUGUGAUUUUGUUGAAUAAAGUUGGUUGGAUUUGGUUGUGUUUUUUAGAGAGAUUUUGAGAGAAAUUUGAAGAAAUUAUUUGGAAGAUAAGAUGAAUAAUGGAUGAGAGGAGAUUCUGCCAGAUUUGUAGGUCAGAGAUCCUCGGCAGUUAACUACCGAGGUUUCCCUCGGCAGUUAAUUGCAGCCGAAUUUUUCAAAAUUUCGGCAGUUAACUGUCAAAGAAAAACUGCCGAAAUAAACCUUGGUAGUUAACUGCCGAGGUUUUCUGCAUCAUUCUAAAAAAAUCAUUCUAAAUUAUUUUGAAAACCGGACUUUUUCCCAAACGUUUAAAAUUCAUUAUAACGAUUCAAACAACAACAAAAUAUUGGUGCAAAUGCACAACUUAAUUUAACCAACAUUUUUGUACAUUAAACAAAGUAAAAAGAUCCCAUGAAAGUAGAAAUAUACAAUUAUACAAAUAAUGUCAUCAAAGUAGAAAUAUACAAUUAUACAAAUAAUGUCAUCAAAAGACGAGAACUAAAAAACAAGUCCUAAAAAUGAAAAUACUACUACUGGUCCUGAUCCUGCUGAUGGUGCCUCCUCCUCGGCCUCUGGGCUCGCCUCCUGGUCAAAAUCGGCGCGAUCUGCUCCCUCAUAUGGGUCAUGGCCUCAAACCACUACUGAGGGGUCAUGCUCAUGACCUCCUCCUGGCCUAAUUGCGCAUCAGCGUAGGCAACAGCGCCACUAACCAUGUCAUAGGUGUCAGGCGAGCUUCUCGCCUCAUACUGCUCCCACUGAUCUGCAAUGAUCUGCUCUUCAUUUGCAGGCCUCGGAAGAUCUCCUGGAAGAGGUGGCAAGAUCUGAGGGUGAGACACCCUAGUGUACCACAGGACAUAGCCAUCCGCCAUCCGCCAUGUAUCCUCUCCUGCCUGCUCACCCCGAUCGUCCGCCUUAAGCGUGUGAGUGCGGAAGUCGACGAACAUCUGCACAAUGGAAGGCGGUGGGAGGUUCCUAACAUCAGUCGGAUGUCUGGGGAUGGUCUGCACGUAUCCGUACUGCCUCAAAACCCUCUCGGGCAAGUGACGGUACACCCUACGGACACCGCACAUAAUCCACCCAGAAUACCAGAAAACCUCCUCGAAGUCCUGGAUCUCUCUGUGCUCCUCGUACGGCCUCCAGCAUACAUCAUCUAACUGUAUACGAUCAAGCAGUGACCAAUACGUGAUCCCCUCCCCAUGACCCUUCUGGAGCUUCCACCUCGCUGCAACCGGAUAGUUUUCCACGUAGUCAGUGUUGGGAUCAACACUGUAAAACCCAGGAAAAUGCGCCAAAAACCAUGCCUGCACAAACCAAACAAAUAACAUUUAUAAAUUAUUACGCACGGAAAAAUAUAACAAAAAAAUAAAAGUUAACAAAAAAAUAAAGUUAACAUAAAUAUAAAAUAUAAGUUUUCUUACAGUGAGCAGUGUCACGCUCCCCCCCAAGAGCUUUGUCUCCAGGCCUACAUGCAUCGGCUAACUCGCUGUAUAGGUAAGCGAGGGUCAUACCUCCCCAGGAAUAAUUACGCAUCCCUGCGUAGCCGUCCUCCAUGGUCGUCAAAUAUAUCAACUCUAUGCGCUUGUUGCUUCUAUCGCCAAACAACAAGCAUCCGACCAAGUAGAGAAGGUAACACCGGACGCAGUAAGUCCUAACCCUCGCCAGCUCCUCAAGCUCCUCCGAAUCCUCCGUACCAGCCAAUAAGUUGGCCCUACCAAGGUACGUGGUAUAAAAGUCCCUCAGCCUCGGGUAGCUAAUGUACCCACCGUACUCCUGGCCGCAAAUCUUUUCAGCCUCAUGCUACGACACACCCAGAUGCCUCAUAAGCAGUGCCGCUACCUCAUGCCUCGGCAUCUUCUUCCCAUGACUCAACAUCCGCCCCUCAAUAGGAAGAUGCGUGAGACAUGCGACAUCAUCCAAUGUCACAGUCAUCUCCCCCAUGGGCAUGUGAAAGGUGCUGGUCUCAGGAUGCCACCUCUCGCAUAAAGUCAUCAGCAGGGCAUGAGGCACGGUGAAGUACCCCAAGUAAACCAAGUCAUGUAGCCCGCUUUGCUUAAGCGGAUCCCAAAACCAAUUCUCAUUCCCGUUAGGGCGUCCGAGAGUGAGAAUCUUGGCCCCAUGAUUAAUCGGUUUAAGCACACGGAGCUUACGAACCUGAAAUAAUAGAAAAAUAAAUAUGGUUUAAACAAAAACACAUAUAAAGAAAACAAUUAAACAUAAAAAAUAGAAUUAAAAAAAACACAUAUAAAAGUGUAUAUAAUAAUUAAACAAACACACUUUUAAAGAAAAUAAUUAAACAUAAAGAAAAAGAAUUAAGAAAAACAUGUAAAAGUGGAUAUAAUAAUUAAACAAACACACAUUUAAAGAAAAUAAUUAAACAUAAAAAAUAGAAUUAAAAAAAAACACAUAUAAAAGUGGAUAUAAUAAUUAAACAAACACACAUUUAAAUUAAAGAAAAUAUUUUAACAUAAAAAAAAAACAUUUAAAAAAAUUACACUUACAUUAUUUGAAUUAUAUCAGAGUGGCAACGCCACAUGAUCGGCAUAAGAGUGGAGCAAGGACAAGUCAGCCGGUCCACCAGGAAAGGGAGGGUCCACAGGUAACACCUCCGGUGCAGCAGCUGCUGCAAUGUCAUCAUCGUCACCUGCAUCCUGCUGCUGUGGUAUAUGAUCCUGGUCAUAUCCACCAUCAGUCACAUCAUGCUGUACCUGAUCCUGAUAGUUCAGGUACUCCAUCCCAGUCUGGUCAACAAGCUGUGACGGGUCAACAACCUGUGACUCCUCAUGUUGUGUAGCCUGAGAGCUUCCUGAGCCAUCUCCCCUCCGACCUCUACCCCUCUUUGGGAUGUGGCCGCUCUGCCUCUCCCUCCGGUGGCUCUGAGUCAUCGCACGCCUACCACCAAUCAUCUUAGAUGGAUCAAUGGGGUCCUGAUCGGCCAUAUCUACAAAACAAAAAAUAAAAUUAAUAUCAUUUUCAUAACCUAAUCAAACACAUUCAACCUAAACUAAACAUAAACAAAAUCAAACUGAUUAAAAGUACAACAAUGAACAUCAUUUCCAUAACCUAAAAUCAUUUAAUAUAAUCAUCAUUACAAUAAAAUUUAUGUCCAUCAUUUCGAUAAUAACCUAAACAUCAUUCAAUAAUUAACAUACACUUAAUCAUUUCUAUACAACUAAAUCAUUUGUGUCCAUCAUAAUUCUCGUAACCUAAACUAACUAAAAAAUCAAUAUACACUUAACCAAACUAUAAUUAACCCUAAUUUCUAUCAUUUCCAUAACUAAACUAACUAAAUAAUCAAUAAAAUUGUCAUUGAGACAUUUUAUCAAACACUUUGUGUGCAAAGUAUAAAACAUAUUCAAAUUGUGUUCAUUUGCCACCAUUCAAAGCCACAUUAUGAUUUAAACAACAUAGGCAACAACUACAUUCAUUUAUCAAUUCCUGAACUACACAUGCAAUCAUCAAAUUGUCAAUUUUGAAAUCAACCCUAACCACAUACAAACCACUCUAAUUUUUUUAAAAAAAUAAACCUAAACAAAUUAACAUUAACAUUAAAAUGAUUGACACAACUUAUUUGUGAUAAUGUGCACUUGAUUUGCUUGCAAUUCGCGAAAAUGGAUUUGGUGAAGAUUGGAGAGAAAUUGAGAAUUUAGAAAGUUUUUUGAAAAUGGGAGGUUCUGGUUCUGCGAUCUGUUUAAGUUCAGAUUUCCUCGGCAGUUAACUGCCGCCGGUUUCCUAAAAACUUUGGCAAUUUACUACCGAAGGGCAUUUGCGUAAUUUACUCGUGUGGCACAGCCAAACUAUGUGUGGGAACAACAAUUCUAUUUCGCGUAUGUUCUCAUCAUUCUGUUGAUUGAUUCUAUGGUUUUCGUCGCCGUCGACGGCUACAACGGAGUUCGUCUAAAACCCUCUCGGGUAGGAUCCAUUAGAUCCGGGUCACAUUUUAGAUCUGGUUUUCCUCUGAUCUGUCCUACUUGGUCUCGCCGCGUGUUGGUCGAUUCAAGGAGGUCUCGAUCAGAAUUGUUGAGUAGAUGUGUCAGAUUAGACAUUUUCCUCUCCGGCGGUCAAGCUUCAGCUCGGAUUCCCAACCUACCGUCGUCCUCAUCCUCAAGGUUGUCGUCGUUCUUCAAGGUCUGAUAAAGGACGAUCGUUGUGUUGAUCUAAAUGUUUCUGUAUGAUAGUUGCGUUUCUGGUCUAAAGGUUCAAGUAUUCCUCCCUGUGUCGGAAGGAGAGUCUUAUUUGGUAUUUUCUUUGGGGCUCAAAAGAGUUUUUAACUUGCCGUGCUUUGCAAGGAGAGGAUGGUGUGUGGAUCUGCUCCGUGUUUACGAUUGGUCCGUUCACCGUGGUCUAGACCUCUACUUAAGAGGCUGUUUUGAUCAAUUUGUGUUGUUUUUAAUUUUCAUAUUACAUGUUUGGGUAUACCUACAUUUUAUGGAUAAACUAGUUAUUAGGUUUAUGUCCCCUAUUUUUUAUUUUUUAUUUUUUUUAAUAAUAUUUAUAAGCACUUGAAAAAAAAUUAGAGAUAUCAACUUAGUUGAGAGCCACUCUUUUUGAUGUCAUUUGCUCUUGUCUUGUAAAAAAAAAAGUUGAUAUAUAUCGUAUAUAUACUUGAGUAUACUAGUAUUUACCUUAUCCAAAUAUCUUAAUACCUUUGGAAAGUGCUCACCUUAUGCAAAUAUUUCAAUUGCUUCUAACGUGGUUGGGAUACUAAAGAAUGUAAACUUAAAUACAUCCUCCGGUCAGUAUUAUAAACAAAAAUCUACUUUUUAGGUUCAUUCAAUAAAUGAUGUAUGUAGUUCAUUAAAUAGGCCACACACAUCAUUUAUUGAAUGAACCUAAAAAAAUAAAAUUUUACUUAUAAUAGUGACCGGAGGAUGUAUGCAACACAUAUCAAUAAUAUUUAUUCAAUAUUAGUUUUUGGGUUCAUAAGAGUCCUAAGACAAAUAUAGUUUUUGGGAAAGUUUGUGAUUAUGCAUGCUCGUUUUAUUUUUUGAAAGGGUGAAAAUGAAAUAUAUUAAUACCAACCAUAAGAAGUCUUUUAAGUACAAGUGGCACCGGAAAUGACGUAAUAAAAGAGCAGAGUUAUAUUACAAGAAAGUCCAAACAACAAAAGAGAAAACAAUGUUACAUAUGUUACCGCAGUUAAACAAGGAAUUGGAUUAAGCCUUUAAAAAUGAUAAUCCAAAAUAAGAUAUCUCAAUUUCAACUACUAAAAAAGAUUGAAGCUUUACCUUUUCAUUUAAAGAUUGCAGGUGCUCCUCCUUGUGUCUAAAGAUGCGUAUAUUUAUCUCUUUUUAAAUGACUCAAAUCACUGAAAGUCAAAUAAUAUCAAUAGCCUAACAGAUAUUUUUCGAAUUAUCCCUUAAUCCACCAAACCGCAGGAAGACGAUCUUGUUAAAGUAGAGACCAUCUUGAAAUUAGAGACCAGAUUCUACCAAAAAAGUCACAUGUAACAAAUAUAUGGUCCAUGUCUUCUAUCAAACCACAACUUGUCGAACAAUUUUGAUCAUUUAGACUAAGAAUCCCUCGUCUUACCAAAUUAUCCUUUGUCGGAACAUGAUUAAUAAGAAGUAAGCGCCAAACAAAUUAUUAACUUUUAGCGGAACAACUUUUAACCACAACAUUAUUGUUAGUCGGAUGGAUGUUGUCUUCCACUCCAGUCAAGUUGUUACAAGACAUAAUGACCGUAAACAAUUGAAGUUAAAUGCUCAACACAUUCCCCCACCAACUUUCCUCCCAAGCAAACAACGUCCUACACCACUUCCACGGCUCACCGUUCACUCCCCAACCUAAAACAUUCAUUUACCACAGUCACCAUUUUGUUCUCCACUAACUUAUAAAGCCCACCAAAUUUAACGUUAAAAGAAGAUCUCUUGAGUUAGAGGUCCCUCCAAAAUAGGGUAGAUGUCCAAUCACCUACCUCACAACCAAGCAAAUGAAGAGUUCUCAUUUCAAUGUUGUGAUAAUUUAAUUACAAUUCACAAUUCGACUGGAUACCUAAAUAAACUUCAGAAGACAAUGGAGCAUCCUUGGAUAAUUAAGAAUGCAAAUCGUAUUACUGUAAAGAAUUGUUAAAAGGAAAGUGUGCCCAAACAUUUUAUUCAUCUAAGUUAAGCCUCAAUUAAAUUUAACUCACAAGGGCAUUGCAACAUUUCAUAUUGGCAACUUAACCAAACUGUACCAAUUUGAACUAAAUCAAAUCAUGCAUAUCAAAUUUAAUUAGAUUGGACACAUGACUAAAUUGUAAAAGACAAGAACAUAUCACAUUGAACCGAAUCAAACCAAAUAUGAUACAAAUCAAAUUAGGAAAAUUCUAUGGUGAAGUUCCGAAAAUGACUUCUCCGGUGAAGUAACCCUACAACUAAUAAGAACGCGCCAUAUUUGUUAGUGAUGCCAUGUCAUACUGGCAGAUGCAUGGUAUGUACUGUGUUCCUUUAGACAAAUUUAAUAGUACUUUAGCCCUUGAACUAAUUAUAAUUGCACUAUUUUCUUUUUAUUUUUAAAAGAUCAAUUUAAAUCAUCUGUUAACAAUUAAGUUAAAAAAUUAAAAUUAAGAUAAAAAAACAGACUUCAACCUUCCCCUGUUCCUUCAGAAAAACAUACCCUUGUUCGUUCUCCUCUCCCACCAUAGUAGAAGGAUUUCGCCUCCAAUCUCCACCCUUUUCCCGAUCGUUGCCCUUCCAUGUAGUCCGGCAUGCAUGGCCACGGACAUGAGAAGGCCACGACGGCGACAGUUUGAACAGCUGUGCGUUAAAAUGUAGCAACACAAAGAGGCACCGAUUUGUGAAAACAACACUGCACAGAGUGGACCAAUCAGUGCAACACUAAUCAAUUCACAACAAGGCAAUCGUACGUAACAAUGGAAAACAAGUUACGGUGGAGCACUUGGAAUAGCCAACACCGAAAACAAAAGAAUAAUGGAAGUAAACAAGCUAGGCAAACCCUAGAGCUAGAUCACACAAUUAAAUACAUAUACUUUGCAUUAUACUCAAUAUUUAAAAUUAUCACAACACAUAUAAUUGAUUGUAAUAAUUGAGGUUUAUAUCUUGUCUAUCAUGAAAGAUUAAAGAUGAAUUAAAAUAGAUAUAAACUUAUAAUGAAUAGCUAGUAAAAUAACGAGCUAAUAUAACGACCAUCAAAAGACAAUUAAUAAUAAUUAUAAUUUAAAGAAUGAGGCUUUUUCCACUAUAAAGUGAUCAUGCCUAUUUAUAUUUCUACAUACAAACAAGUAAAUAAUAUGGAUGAAAUUAUCAAGUUUCUUUUUGUUAUGGUUAUUUAUCUUUUAAUGUUCACCAUUGUAAUCGACGGUAAGUUUAUUUUUGCAAAAAAAAAAAAAAAUCAAACUUUUCUUUUUAAUCUUAUACGUACUCAAUGUUUUAUUGCAUAUUACUAACAAUAAUUUUUUUUAAUUUGUCAUCAUAGCGACUUCUUUUUGUGAUUCUGUUAAAGAUUGUCGCGAACCUGCUUUUUUUUGUGAGCCUCCUAAAAUUGCAAGGUGCGUAAUGUUGUUUUGUCGAUGUGACUAAUAGUAGCAAUUAAGUUUAAAACUAGAUCCUUCAAAAAAAAAAGUUUAAAACUAGGUGUAUGGUACUUCUAAAAGCGAAUAAUUGUAUUUAAAAUUAUAUUGUUGAUACUUUUUUGAUAUAUUUCACACUUCAAUAUCUGUUCAUCAGACCUUCAAAUUUAUUUGAUUGACGAUUGCAUUUGAAAUUAUAUUGUUGGUACUUUUAUGAUAUAUUUCACACUUCAAUAUUUGUUUGUCAGACCUUCGAAUUUAUUUGAUUGACUAGAAAUCAUAUUAUUGUAUUAUGCAAGCGUUGCUACAUUUGUUCGCUCUUAGAAGUUAUCGAGAUUAAUUUGCACAAUUAAAACUAUUUACGUUAAUAAAUAAAACAUAAAAAAUGUUAAUAAAUAAAACCAAUAUUUUAUUUAUUUAAAUAAAUCAUUAUGGAGCAUAUUAUUAGAAAGACAUCUAUAGUAAACAAGGUUAGUAUUGUAAAAGUGUCAUGUCUUUUAACAAAAUUAUUACAUUUCAUAAAUUCAUGUAAUUAUAUUAUUUUGUAAUUAUUUAAAAUAAUUUGUUAAUGACUCUCAUUUUAGCGGUUAAUGACAUACUCAAAGUAACUAAUGAGACAUAUGUUUUUAUUUUAUUUUAUAAAAGUCAGAAAUUUAUUGGAAAAAAAAAAAGCAUAAAAAAAUUGAGGUGAUAAAUGCCGAAACCAAAUUAAACUAACAAAACCUAAUAAAUGAAAACAUGAUACAUCUCUAAAUAAAAGGGUUAAAAUAACAAGUAGAGCUGUCAAAACGGUAUGGGCCGGCCCGUUUAACCCGAAUAAAUAUAGGGCUUGGGCCUAAGAUAUUGAGCCCGAAUUUUAAUAGGGCUUUUUAGCCCGGCCCUUAAAAGCCCGAUACCCGUUAGGGCUAGCCCGAAUGGGCCGCGGAUAGCCCGUUAGCCCGCAUAACAAAAAAAAAUUCUAUAAAUUAUAUAUAUUUUUCAAAUAAUUAUUUACUUAGUUGAUUAUCAAAGUAAAAAACAAAAAUGAAAAUUCAAUGAAUUAACACAAAUAUAAAUGUAAUAUAAAAUUAUAUUUAUUCAUUUCAUUAUUUAUAAUUUUAAAGAUCGAAUAUAUAAAUAUCUAUAACCAUAACAUAUCUAAUUUAUUUAAAAUCAUUUUCCUCGUCGUUUUAGUUUACGACGUUUGUACAAAAAUGUUUACAAUUUACUUUUGUGCUAGACAUUAUUUAAACAUAUUAAAAAUAUUAUUUAUAAAAAAAUUAUAGUAAUGUUUUAUAGUACUUUUUUAAAAUAAAAAAAUAUAUAAUUUUUAAUACGGGCCGGACCCGGAUAGUAUAUUUCAAACCCGUUUUGUCAACCGGACUUUUUGGCCCAGCCCGCUAAAGCCCGAAGCUCGCUAGGGCCGACCCGUUUAGGGCCGGGCCACCCGUUUUGACAGCUCUAAUAACAAGGGGAUCAAACCAUGAGCAAUCCAAAACAAGAUAUUCAUUUGAUAUUCAUUUUUUGAUUGUAUUUGCAUGUAUAAUUUGUUAUUUACUUGCAUGUAUAAAAUAAAGGAUUGAUGACCCAAUCUUAUGUUUAUGUUCCAAAAAUACUUCUCUAUAUUUUUUAGGUUUAAUUGCACUUUCCCCCCUUAUCUUUUGCCAAUUGUGUGAUUUUGCACCCUAUUGUUUUAAAUGAGCGAUUUUGCACGCCAUCAUUUUCCCCCUUUCUGAUUUCAAGGUCCCCGUGUGUUUCAGUGAUGAUGUGUUCAUUUUUUAUGACGUGUUCACAUUUAAUUCGUUCCAUGUGUGUAAUUUUUUUUUUUUUGUCAAGUAGCGUAGUGGUUAGAAUUCACCUUAUAAGGUGAAUAAGUGGGGUGUCCGGGGUUCGAACCCCGGCCCCUGCAUAUAAUAAUGCAUUGUCCUACCAACUGAGCUAUGCUCACGGGACGUAAAUCAUAUUUUUUUUUUUUUAAAAAAAAAAAAAUUCGAAAUUAAACAGAGGGAGUCACGUGAUAUCCUUUUUGAAAUCCCUAAUUUUUAUCUUCUUCCCCCAUUCCUUCGACUGCAUGCCUCCUCCAUUUUCUUCCUCUUUUUUGCUUCCUUUUUGCUUGCUUUCUCAUACCUUGUUAUCGAUCAUCGAUCUCUCAUCUUUCUUAGAAAUCGUGGUUGAGCCUAACACAACCCCACAAAAUCGGUUUGCGAGGUGAUGAUUGCCCCCACUUAUAAACACAUUGUCAGGCCAUGUCGUAUCCGAUGUGGGACUCUUAACACACUCGCUUGGUUCGUGGACAUAAACGGUGGGUGGCCUGAUAGCGGAAACCUGAUAGCAGGUGGCCCAAUGAAUCUUGGAGAGAGGCUAUGAUAACAUCUUAGAAAUCGUGGUUAGGCCUAACACAACCCCACAAAACCGGUUUACGAGGUAAGGAUUGCCCCCACUUAUAAACACAUUGUCGAGCAUGUCUUAUCCAUGUCUUAUCCGAUGUGGGACUCUUAACAAUCUUUUCUCACAUCCUUCCUUGAUUUUGAACGGUGUCUGUUACUUGAUUUUGAACUGUUGCAGAUUCAUAGAUUUUCGCUUGUUCCUUGUCAUCUUCAUUUUCAUUGUUGGAGCUUCUACCUUCACCUCCAAUUGAUAUAUACACAGUAGAGUCUUGAGCAAUGGUGAAUGGUGUAUGAAUUGAAAUGAUAAGUUGCAAUCAUUACUCCCACUCUCUUGUAUGUUGUAACGAUGCCAACAUAUCACUACAUGUUGAGACCAAUACGACGUCUGUCAACUACACGGACUAACGUGCACACAGCCACACCAGGGAGUGAAAAACGCAACUGCAGCUGUAGCAGACACCAAAAAACCAGCAGGAACCCUGCAAAAAAACACACCAGGCCUUCUAUCACAGAAGCACAAAACCGCAGGAACAGCAGCAGAACUAAAUACAGCAGCAGUUCUCAAGUUUUUCAAUGUGUUCGUGGAUGUCUCCUUCAUCUUUAGAUUAGAGUUUCGAUUGGAAGGAGAUGAACACAGAGAACAAUAUGAAAAGUUAGGAAUUCUGAUUGUAGGGGUGUGUUAGGAUUUUGUGAGGGUAUGAGAAGGGUCACGUGACUACUUUCUCAAAAUCUGAAAAUUCCAUUUUUUUUUAAUAAAUAUAAUUACACACGUGGCACACAUUAAAUAAUCAAAAACAGAUACAUUAUCACUAAAAGUUAUGGGGGACCUUGAAAUCAGAAAAGGAGAAAAGAACGGGGUGUAAAAUCGCUCGUUUAAAACUAUGGAGCACAAAAUCGCGCAAUUGUCAAAAGAUAGGGGAAAGAGUCCAAUUAAACCUAUUUUUUAUUUACUUUUUUUUUUAAAACAAAUUGGACAAAAAAAGUAUUAUUCACCACAUAAAUACAUUAAACACAAAAUAUGUUGUUUAAUAUUGUGUCUUAAAAUUGUGUUUUCAUAACUAUUUCUUAUUUUAUGUAGUAUAUUAGACAUAAAUGUAGUUGAUUAGUGAAGGGAACUAACACAUCAGCACAACAAUAAAUCAAUAAAUAAAAUUUCUCAACUUAUAAAAGUUUGUUAUUAUAUACUAGCGAAAAGACGGGCACUCACGUGCCUGUUUUUCUGCUCUUUUAUUGCGCUAACGUUUGAAAAUUAUGAACGGUGUUUUUUAUGAAAUUUUGAUUUUGAGUAAAACUAAAAAUAUAAAUGUUUGUUUCUUUCCAAUUAUAACAAACCAAACUAACCAU
This 13722-nucleotide long non-coding RNA is filed under the name Medicago truncatula (barrel medic). Its description in RNAcentral is "long non-coding RNA (MTRU_LNC006100)". Lineage: Eukaryota; Viridiplantae; Streptophyta; Magnoliopsida; Fabales; Fabaceae. The record is from RNAcentral.